GCGGCAUGCUUAACACAUGCAAGUCGAACGGUAACGACCUCAUUACCUUCGGGUAACGAGGGGCGACGAGUGGCGGACGGGUGAGUAACGCAUAGGAAUCUGCCCAGUAGUGGGGGACAACUCCGGGAAACCGGAGCUAAUACCGCAUACGCCCUACGGGGGAAAGCGGGGGAUCUUCGGACCUCGCGCUAUUGGAUGAGCCUAUGUCUGAUUAGCUUGUUGGUAGGGUAACGGCCUACCAAGGCAACGAUCAGUAGCUGGUCUGAGAGGAUGAUCAGCCACACUGCGACUGAGACACGGCGCAGACUCCUACGGGAGGCAGCAGUGGGGAAUAUUGCACAAUGGGCGCAAGCCUGAUGCAGCAAUGCCGCGUGUGUGAAGAAGGCCUGCGGGUUGUAAAGCACUUUCAGUAGUGAAGAAAAGCCUGAGGUUAAUACCCUCGAGUCUUGACGUUAGCUACACAAGAAGCACCGGCUAACUCCGUGCCAGCAGCCGCGGUAAUACGGAGGGUGCGAGCGUUAAUCGGAAUUACUGGGCGUAAAGCGCGCGUAGGCGGUUUGGUAAGUCGGAUGUGAAAUCCCCGGGCUUAACCUGGGAAUUGCAUUCGAUACUGCCUGACUAGAAUGUGAUAGAGGUAAGUGGAAUUCCCGGUGUAGCGGUGAAAUGCGUAGAUAUCGGGAGGAACAUCAGUGGCGAAAGCGGCUUACUG
This 709-nucleotide ribosomal RNA is filed under the name uncultured bacterium. Its description in RNAcentral is "bacterial SSU rRNA". It matches the Rfam family "Bacterial small subunit ribosomal RNA", at positions 39 to 731 of the family's 1533-position model. The record is from RNAcentral.